This 333-nucleotide ribosomal RNA is filed under the name uncultured bacterium. RNAcentral describes it as "bacterial SSU rRNA". It matches the Rfam family "Bacterial small subunit ribosomal RNA", at positions 27 to 339 of the family's 1533-position model. The record is from RNAcentral.
GGACGAACGCUGGCGGCGUGCCUAAUACAUGCAAGUCGAACGCUCUUUUCUUAUCGAACUUCGGUUCACCAAGAAAAGGGAGUGGCGAACGGGUGAGUAACACGUGGGUAACCUGCCCAUAAGAGGGGGAUAACAUCCGGAAACGGGUGCUAAUACCGCAUAGGUUUCUUGGUCGCAUGAUCGAGAAAGGAAGACGGCCUUUGUGCUGUCGCUUAUGGAUGGACCCGNGGCGUAUUAGUUAGUUGGUGAGGUAACGGCUCACCAAGACCGCGAUGGGUAGCCGGCCUGAGAGGGUGAACGGCCACACUGGAACUGAGACACGGUCCAGACUCC